This 1381-nucleotide ribosomal RNA is filed under the name uncultured marine bacterium. RNAcentral's name for it is "bacterial SSU rRNA". It matches the Rfam family "Bacterial small subunit ribosomal RNA". The record is from RNAcentral.
GAGUUUGAUCCUGGCUCAGGACGAACGCUGGCGGUGCGCCUUAUGCAUGCAAGUUGAGCGAAGCUUUUUGGUAGUUUACUACUAGAAAUGACUGAGCGGCGAACGGGUGAGUAACGCGUGAGCAAUCUACCUUAGUUACUGGGAUAGCCCGAGGAAACUCGGAUUAAUACCAGAUAUUCUUAUUUUUUCACAUGAAGUUUUAAGGAAAGGUCAGCCGAACUAAGAUGAGCUCGCGUCCUAUCAGCUAGUUGGUGGGGUAAAAGCCUACCAAGGCAACGACGGAUAGCUGGUCUGAGAGGACGAUCAGCCACACUGGGACUGAGACACGGCCCAGACUCCUACGGGAGGCUGCAGCAGGGAAUAUUGUGCAAUGAGCGAAAGCUUGACACAGCGACACCGCGUGUGGGAUGACGGUUCUAGGAUUGUGAACCACUUUCAGGAGGGAAGAAAAUGACGGUACCUCCACAAGAAGACCCGGCCAACUAUGUGCCAGCAGCCGCGGUAAUACAUAGGGGUCAAGCGUUGUCCGGAUUUAUUGGGCGUAAAGAGCUCGUAGGCGGUUCAACAAGUCGGUCGUAAAAGUUUAGGGCUCAACCCUAAAAUGUCGAUCGAUACUGUUGUGACUAGGAUACGGUAGAGGUGAAGGAAUUCCGAGUGUAGCGGUGAAAUGCGUAGAUAUUCGGAGGAACACCAAUUGCGAAGGCAGUUCACUGGACCGUGAUCGACGCUGAGGAGCGAAAGCUAGGGGAGCAAACAGGAUUAGAUACCCUGGUAGUCCUAGCUGUAAACGAUGGAUACUAGAUGUAGGAACUGGAUUGACGGUUUCUGUAUCGUAGCUAACGCGUUAAGUAUCCCGCCUGGGGAGUACGGUCGCAAGACUAAAACUCAAAGGAAUUGACGGGACCCCGCACAAGCGGCGGAGCAUGCGGCUUAAUUCGAUGAUACCCGUAGAACCUUACCUGGACUUGACAUAUAGGGAAAAACUGGAGAAAUCCAGUGUGCGUAAGCGCCCUUUACAGGUGGUGCAUGGCUGUCGUCAGCUCGUGUCGUGAGAUGUUGGGUUAAGUCCCGCAACGAGCGCAACCCCUGUCCUAUGUUGCCAGCAAGUAAUGUUGGGGACUCAUAGGAGACUGCCGGUGAUAAACCGGAGGAAGGUGGGGAUGACGUCAAGUCAUCAUGCCCCUUAUGUCCAGGGCUGCACGCAUGCUACAAUGGCAAGUACAACGAGUCGCAAUACCGCGAGGUGGAGCAAAUCUCUUAAAGCUUGUCUCAGUUCGGAUAGGAGUCUGCAACUCGACUCCUUGAAGUUGGAGUCGCUAGUAAUCGCAAAUCAGCAAAGUUGCGGUGAAUACGUUCUCGGGGUUUGUACACACCGCCCGUC